CUAGCAGAGCACUUGACGUGCUGUUCUUCGGUCCCUCCUUUCGUCAGGAACAUUUUGAAGACUGGUUGGUUUGGUUAGUGAAGCGCAAAGCAGUAAUUUACAACUAUGUGGAGCAGGAUGCUCUUGAUGAGGCGCGCGCUCGUCAUGUUUCUCCGCAGGCUGGGGGUGGGACAGAGGCUCGCAGACGAGACAGCCUUAGUUCAGCAGCCCUGCCUUCCGAAAUCGGCCUCAUCUCCUCUUUUUCCUUUUGUUUGUAAUGCAUGAAUGAAAACUGUAAAAGGUCCCUGCCAGCCGCGGGGCUGGUUGCCAAGCUGAAAUUACUGGAGCCGGAUCGUUGUCCUCGCCGCUGUAAUUUCCCGCCUUGGGGAGGAAUCGUAUAGGCAGCUUUCCACGGUGCAUCCAAACAAAAACAACAGGGGUGGGAAUAGGGCUUUCACACCCACGGAGAGCCGCGAGCGGGGCCAUACUGAGCACGCGCCCGGACUCCCCCGCCCUGCCUCUGUGCAGCCUUGCUGGCCGUUGGCGGAAUCGAGCAGGAUGCUGCCGUGACGUAGGGAUGGAUGUCCAGGUCGCCGCCUGGGGCAGAUGGAGGCCCUGUGGGGUAACCGGCAGUGAGGUUUCCGCAGGGCUUUCCUCAAGGCAGGAUUCUGGGGGACCCACUCCAAGAAGGCCGGGUUCUGCAUGUCUGACUAAAACCUCAUCCGCUGCAGAGGUUGGAAAUGGCGGUAGGCUCUGAACCACAUCAAGACACUAACCGAGCAUCUGGGCGUGGUAUUUCCUUCGCAAGAUUCCUCGGCCUACACUCACGCAGAACAGAUCUGAAAGCCACAAGUGGGUUUGGAUUUGGCAAUAAAAUAGAAACAAAUGAAAACGUGCAUGCAGAGUGAUGAAGAUACUUUUGGAGCGAAAAAUGCCAUGGAAGAAUGAUGCUUCGACAGGAUGAAAAAAGGAUGGACGGAGAUGAAUGGGCAGUUUUAAGCGCGUGUGUUUAAGCGACAGCUCUGUAGGGCUUGCAUUUUUACAACUUGUUAAAUCGUCUCUCUUGCUUGAAACAGCACUGCCAUCUGUUGGUGAGAGAGCAAGGCUAAAAACUUUCAUUUCUCAGCUGUGGCUGGUGUAGGGCGAUGUCGCUCAUUGUCUCACUGCAUUUAUGCGGCUAGCUCCCAUGCUGUGAUAGUGUCUCGGUUUUAUAGAUAAGAUCAGUUUCAUACCUUGUCAUAUAAACAGUUUACAUAUCUAAUCUCUUGGCUGUGAGUUAAAAACUUAUCAAUCCAUCUUUCCAUUUGUGUCUGUGUAGUGUAAUAACUUGCAGGGAAGCCUUUGUAACUCAAGCAUACUUAACUGUAUUCUUUUCUUAAAAGUGACAGUCCUGCAAUAUUCUAGCCUAAUGGGCACGUUAUCUCAUAUUAUACUGUAGCAACACUUGGAAAUGUAUUUUAUCAGUUCUGUUUGGAGUAGCUAUGAAUAAUGCAGAAGCAAGCACCAUAACCUAAGUGAUGCUUUAUUGUUAGAGGUUACUAGCGGCUCCCAGCUUAUUUUUUACUAAGCCAUGCAGGAAAAGGAGAGAAAUGUCUUAAGCUUCCACUGUGAUGGCCUACGUACUGUGAAAUAGAACAAUAUCCUUUGACCCAUGUUCUCUCAAACAUCCUAUCCCACUCUGUUCACCUGAUACGUUCACCUGGCCCAUAUCUCUGCCGUCUCAAUGUGGCGUCUUUCUUCUUCAUUCUCCUCCUCCUCCUCAGGUGACCUGUGUGCUUUUAAGCUGGGAACUUUCACCUGAAAUGACAAUCACAGCCCGUCAUUUCCACACACCGUCUCCUGUAAGGCAGCCUGCUACUUUCCCAAGUGCAAAGACAUCAUCUGGUUGCUGAAUAUGUCCCAGGUGAUUGCAGGGCCUGAGAGUGUUGAGACUGGAGCACGAUGAGCUGAUGAAUUACCUCCUUCAGUCUACUCUGAGUGUCCUCAGCCUCCUAGAGCCCUUUUCCUCUGGAGUCUCAAGGCCGCAGGUGCUACAGGUCAUGUCCAUUGAGUUUAGAAAGCUCAGUUACCACUUUUCUGAUCAGUAUUUUUAUUUUUUGUGCACUACAGGAUUCUAGCUUAGUAAUGUUUCUGAAAAUGUUAUAAAUUAUUAUUUUUAGUGGUGCGUUUAUUUCUGUCACUUAAUUGCAUCUAGUUGGUGGGUGAGAGUUUCCACAACGCACUUCAUAAACAAUCUUCCAGCAUCUUUCUGUAAAAUCGAGGCACCUGGAUAUCUGUGGGUGGUGGCAGCCUAAUGCGUAGCGCCAGCCUGAAGGCAUGGAAAACCUAACUGGGUGAAAAGUAUAUUGGCAUUUGCAGGUGAAGCACAGGAAGAAUAAUAAUAUUUUAUGUUGAACUAGACAGACAAAGCACUUAUUUUCCGAUAAAUAGUUUUCUGUCUGACGCACGACUGCUGUUUUCACGCACUGCGCUUCUGAGCAAAGGGAAGCGUUGUUCUUUUCUUUUUUGCAAGUGGUUCAGAGCAGAAACAUUGAAUCCUCAAAGUGGGAUUUAGUGUCUUUUAUGUUCAAAAACUGCGAGUGACAUUGUACUGCACGCAGCUCAUAAGUCACAACGUUUCAAUCAGCCAUUUUUUCUUCCUUAGAAUCAAGCAGAUUUUUGACUACCUGCUCCAAAAACUCUUCUUUGUUGACAUGUCUUUUUUAGUGUUCGUUUUGCAAAUACAAAUAUGUUUUGUUUUUUUUAGUUCUUAAGAACUGGGAUCUCUUUGAAAAAAACAUUGCUUCCUCUUAAUUCCGUGCUUGUCCCACUUUACUUGUCUGGCCCAGCAGGAGCCCAGUAGGACCGCCUGCAGGCGGGAUCUGGAAGCGCCACUGGAGCUCCUGCCUGUAUGCAGGCAGAUGGACGCUGGUCUCUGGUGCAGGAGAUGGAGGCCUGGGCUUCCUGCCCUGUGCAUGUCGCUUGGCACCCAUGUGCGCUUUCAGGGUGGGUGGUAGAGGCGCUGGUCUGGAAAAGAGGUUCAGGGCUGUGGGCCGCCUGCCGACACAGGGUGCUCCUUCUCUCUGGUAGGCUGAGGUCAGGGGUGAUAAAUAAUUAGCGGACAACCUCACUUAGACUGACCAUGUCCAGCAUGAAACUGACCUCGCCAUUUUGUUUCCAACUCUGUGGAAAACUUGCAUGUAGAAAUAAGAAUAAAUAAUUGGAAUGCAGGGGUUUCUUAUUUGUUGUUAUCCAGCUAUCUUGAUUGUCUAUACAUAGACCCCAGCGGGAGCCCUCUCAAGUCUGCCGGACUCCUGACUGCCCUCAAGGAUCGUCUCUUUAGCCGCUGUUUUCAGGUUUGAGCCUUAAAUCCGUCCCUGGGGAACAGGACGCUUAUAUUCUGUACUUCAAACUCGACUCCACUGCGAGCCCAAAGGAUCUCUUCAAUCGUUUCACUCCCUUCCUUCCUCACUCCCCCGUCGGCUGCUCACUGGGCAUCGGCAGGUGGGUCGCUACCAUUUCCUUACGCCGACUUGCUGUUCCCUCGUCUCGAUGUCUCAAUUCGAAGUUGACCAACCUGCUCAAAUAAGUGUGAAGUUCAGAAGGAGCUCCAAUUUCUAUCCUUCUGCUCUGGCACACAAAUAUCUCGCCGCCUUUGAGCUCCCAUUAGCUCUCUGGAAGCUUUCAGGUCUAAAACGAUCCAGUGUCUUCUCUGUAAAAGCAGGGCUUUGCACACGCUUGGCCUGUGGCAAGGAAGCAAGGGCUGGGUCCCUGGACAUGACUGGCAUGGGCUGCAACAGAUGGCUGGAGGAGACCAAGGGGACCACUCGGCAUCUCUCUGCACUGCUGUCCUGGAGCUCCAGCGCUGCAGCUUGUGGCAACAGGCGACCCCUCCUCUUCUCCCGGUGUGGGGGCAACACUCAGAGCCUUGUGGGAAACCAGGCGUAACACUGAUUUCGCAUGAAGGGUAGCAGUAAAAAGACACGUCCUUGAGUUUUAUAAAUGCCCACAGUUGCAGAGGGAGGUGUGGCGGCGACUGGCCCAGAAGUGCCACACAUGGGAUGGCCGUAUGGUCAUGCGCGUGCCCCGGCGGUCACGACGGGGGCUGGUGAUUGAUGCCAGGCGUCCUGCUGUCACAGCUGAUUCUUCUCCAGGAAUGGCUCCGGUUCAGCGUCCCCGCUGGGCGGGGGAGCCCCAGUGCUGCGGCAGCCGCUGUUGAAGUCAGCUGGCUCUCGCUCGAAACAGGUGGUGAUUUAACCGCAGUCAAUUACCCGUCUGGAGCGCUCCUCUCCACUGGCGGCGGCCGCGCGGCGGGAAGGUGAGAGUGGCGGAGAGCGCUCGCAGGUGUUGCGACAGGUUUCUAUAGUAAUGUUCCAGUCCUACAUAGAAGCCUAGGUGAAGAGACGCAGUGCUUGUGUGAUGGAUUUGCCCCAAGAGCAGGAGUGAGGAAGUGGAAGGAAGGACUUUGAGAACCUGAGGACACAUUCAGAGCUAAUGUGAAGCUGCUUAUUCCUGAUAAGUGUUGCAGCAAACUGGACCAGAGGAACAGGGUACAAGCUGAAAUAGCACCAACACUGAAAGCAUCUCAGGGAAGAAAGGAAAACAGGAGAAAACCAGAGCAUCUGAAGAUAACCCUUGCAACCGGACCCAGGACUCAAGAGCUGUCGCAACACUGUGCCACCUGUGCCUAAAGUCUAUUUUAGAUGCAAUUCAUGCAUUCAGACUGCUUACAUGAGUUUUUUAAAUGAAUGUGAGUGUUAUACUCCAGCAGCAGACUGCUCUGCAGCCCCCUGUUCACAUGUAUGGCAUUCUGGGCAGAAGGGGUUAACCAAUGGAGAUCUGCUGUGAAACUCACAGGCUAGUGGUGUGUGGUGCUGCUGGUACCGUAGAUUGUAGGAUUCUGUCCUGUGUACAAGCAGCCUGAGGAUGCGCCUGUAUCCUGCUGGAAAGUUAUCGUGUCAGAAGAAGCCGAUGGGAGGUCCCAGGACUUGUUCAGAGCUGGGCUGUGUAGUCAGAUUGCCGUCAGCCACGUCAAGUGGAGUUCUACAGGGUGACUUAACCAGGGCCUUGGCGGUUUAAGCCAAACACUGACAUCGAUGACUCAUCGGGCACUUGCAGGCUGGCAGUGAUGUCAAUGAGAGACCUGCUCUCCUGUCAGCUCCGUGACGCUCGCAGUGUGGCGGAAGAUGAAUCAUCUGACCAGCGAAUUUGUCAGAGGAGCACAGCUGCAGAACCCAAUUCUUCCCACGCGGUCCUGGACUGGAAGCUAUAAGCUGAAACUUCAAUAAAUGAACAAUGUGAAAUUG
Long non-coding RNA from Lepisosteus oculatus (spotted gar), 5264 nucleotides. RefSeq lists it as uncharacterized. The record is from RefSeq and is a predicted model, not a curated record. NCBI's taxonomy places the organism in Eukaryota, Metazoa, Chordata, Actinopteri, Semionotiformes, Lepisosteidae.